GACUGUCUGCUAAUGUAAUCUAUACUGAUAACAGUGAUAUGUGCACCAUUGAGGACUGGAUUGGUUAGCUCUGAAAUGUCGUUGUCUAAAUAGUCAAUGCAAAGCAAAAUAAAACUUCUCACCAGUUAUCACAUCAUUAAUAGGCCAUGAAGUCAAAUAUAACACAAGUCACUGUUCUAGCCUUAGCCUACACACUACAUUCUAAAUUCAUCUCUGCGAAUGACAGCCUAGAAUAAUGUAUCCAUUGUCAUUUCUGUAACGUUUAAGAGCGGCUUGUGGCAUCAGUCCACUAUUUGGUGGGAACACUGCUCUUCUGUGUGAAGUUCAUAGUCUUUGUUGAAAUUAUUUUAGCUGCUCUCAUUAAUUUCGAUGCUAGUCUAUCAAUAGACAUUGACAUAGACGUUGAGGGUUGGGCUCGCUUGUUUAGAGCGCACAAGAAUGCUCCCAACCUUGAAAAAAAAGAAAAAAGUUUCACAGAAGAAAAAAACGACUCGCUCUUCGUUGCGAGGGCAAACGCAAGCCCAACCUACCGCCAUAGUAGAAUUACCUGAAUUCUCCUCACGUGACCGAUCCCCAGCCGGUCGACCAAUGAGAAGAGAGGACAGGUGCACUCAUUGUAGUUUCGGAGGUGGAAUCCCGGGUACUCUUGUAAACUGCGACGGCACUAUAAAGUCUUUCACAGACAUAGAUAUCCACUCAACCGAGUUAUGCGCAAAACUGCGUCUCAUUGAUUGACAUCUUCGGAUACGUGGGAGUGAAAGAUGGUUUUCACACACCGUGAUUUCUUCUGAAGAAGAUUCAGCGUCUCUUCUCUGUUGUCUCAACACACCUUUCAUUUAGAGGAACGUCGGGCUGCGUUUAUCUUCUUCUCGUCAUUUUUAUCCAGUUUUAACAAUGACGGAGAAAACAGCUCCCUGGUGGAGAUCUUUCGUGGGCAAGAGGAGAAAAGCAGCCAGAGAAUCGGCAGCGACCCUUGAGCAGGACCUCCGUAAUCAGCCAUCUGCAGAAUCCAAGCAGCAACCCUCUGCUGAGCCGGACCAACGACUCACCUCACAGACCCGUCCAGUGAUACAAGCAGGCAACAACCUACCUAGCGACGAAACAUACGACGACUCCGCUGUUCAACCCACUUUCAACGAGCUCAACAAUCGCCGUUUUCUCACUGUAUCGCGCUCCGGCCGCUUCAAAGAGAAAAAGAAGUCGCGAGCGAGUUUUCCACAGAACCACGAAGACGAAGGGAAACCUGUCGCCGCCAAACCAACCGAAGUUCAGUCAAAGCGUUGAUUGCAGCCGCAGUUUACAUCCGUUGGUAGAGCCAUAAGGCACUACCUUCAUACUGACAAUGUUGAUUAACUUGACUCAUAAAUGCACUUACUGAUAUUGUGGUGAUAGACUGUUGGACUAAUUUAUUAUUGGAGCUUUUCUCCAAAUGCUGGAAAAAUGGCUUUUCCUUGAGGAUAAAACGGCUCUUAGCCAAGCAGGUUUAAAUGGGUUUACAGGCACUUUACAACUUGAGAUCAGCUAGGUCAGCGUAAACCUGGUAAGACCAGCAAACUAUAAGCUGUUUUUUUUUCUCCACCAGGGAAAAUACAUUCAAUAGAAUAAUAUUUGUGAAGGAUACAACACAUUAUUUUUAGACAUUUGUUAUAGCUAGGCCUACAACAUUUGCACUGUAUUAUGGUGUUACUGCAACAUUUUAUGAAGGACUAUAUACGAAGGAUUGAGCAGAAACUAUUUUAAAGAUAAUCAGUGUAAGGUCUAUCAUGGCUGUUUUGAAUGGUUGUGCAUGCAUGUCACUUUUUUGAGCGGGUUUGGGUGGUGGUCCUAUCCGUCCAGAAUUAAAUGUUUUUACUUUAAAUGUCAA
Molecule: non-coding RNA, 1864 nt
Organism: Danio rerio (zebrafish)
Lineage: Eukaryota; Metazoa; Chordata; Actinopteri; Cypriniformes; Danionidae
Source: RefSeq, a predicted model, not a curated record